RNAcentral lists this transfer RNA (83 nucleotides) under Sulfitobacter sp. R18_1. Its description in RNAcentral is "tRNA-Leu". It matches the Rfam family "tRNA". Rfam says of the family: Transfer RNA (tRNA) molecules are approximately 80 nucleotides in length. Their secondary structure includes four short double-helical elements and three loops (D, anti-codon, and T loops). Further hydrogen bonds mediate the characteristic L-shaped molecular structure. tRNAs have two regions of fundamental functional importance: the anti-codon, which is responsible for specific mRNA codon recognition, and the 3' end, to which the tRNAs corresponding amino acid is attached (by aminoacyl-tRNA synthetases). tRNAs cope with the degeneracy of the genetic code in two manners: having more than one tRNA (with a specific anti-codon) for a particular amino acid; and 'wobble' base-pairing, i.e. permitting non-standard base-pairing at the 3rd anti-codon position. The record is from RNAcentral. Lineage: Bacteria; Pseudomonadati; Pseudomonadota; Alphaproteobacteria; Rhodobacterales; Roseobacteraceae.
GCGGGCGUGGCGGAAUGGUAGACGCGCUGGUUCGAGAUACCAGUAUCUUUGAUGUGGAGGUUCGACUCCUCUCGCCCGCACCA